This 1447-nucleotide ribosomal RNA is filed under the name Klebsiella pneumoniae. RNAcentral's name for it is "bacterial SSU rRNA". It matches the Rfam family "Bacterial small subunit ribosomal RNA". Lineage: Bacteria; Pseudomonadati; Pseudomonadota; Gammaproteobacteria; Enterobacterales; Enterobacteriaceae. The record is from RNAcentral.
UCCUGAACGGAUUAGGCGAUAGCAUGCAAGUCGAGCGGUAGCACAGAGAGCUUGCUCUCGGGUGACGAGCGGCGGACGGGUGAGUAAUGUCUGGGAAACUGCCUGAUGGAGGGGGAUAACUACUGGAAACGGUAGCUAAUACCGCAUAAUGUCGCAAGACCAAAGUGGGGGACCUUCGGGCCUCAUGCCAUCAGAUGUGCCCAGAUGGGAUUAGCUAGUAGGUGGGGUAACGGCUCACCUAGGCGACGAUCCCUAGCUGGUCUGAGAGGAUGACCAGCCACACUGGAACUGAGACACGGUCCAGACUCCUACGGGAGGCAGCAGUGGGGAAUAUUGCACAAUGGGCGCAAGCCUGAUGCAGCCAUGCCGCGUGUGUGAAGAAGGCCUUCGGGUUGUAAAGCACUUUCAGCGGGGAGGAAGGCGAUAAGGUUAAUAACCUUGUCGAUUGACGUUACCCGCAGAAGAAGCACCGGCUAACUCCGUGCCAGCAGCCGCGGUAAUACGGAGGGUGCAAGCGUUAAUCGGAAUUACUGGGCGUAAAGCGCACGCAGGCGGUCUGUCAAGUCGGAUGUGAAAUCCCCGGGCUCAACCUGGGAACUGCAUUCGAAACUGGCAGGCUAGAGUCUUGUAGAGGGGGGUAGAAUUCCAGGUGUAGCGGUGAAAUGCGUAGAGAUCUGGAGGAAUACCGGUGGCGAAGGCGGCCCCCUGGACAAAGACUGACGCUCAGGUGCGAAAGCGUGGGGAGCAAACAGGAUUAGAUACCCUGGUAGUCCACGCCGUAAACGAUGUCGAUUUGGAGGUUGUGCCCUUGAGGCGUGGCUUCCGGAGCUAACGCGUUAAAUCGACCGCCUGGGGAGUACGGCCGCAAGGUUAAAACUCAAAUGAAUUGACGGGGGCCCGCACAAGCGGUGGAGCAUGUGGUUUAAUUCGAUGCAACGCGAAGAACCUUACCUGGUCUUGACAUCCACAGAACUUACCAGAGAUGGCUUGGUGCCUUCGGGAACUGUGAGACAGGUGCUGCAUGGCUGUCGUCAGCUCGUGUUGUGAAAUGUUGGGUUAAGUCCCGCAACGAGCGCAACCCUUAUCCUUUGUUGCCAGCGGUUAGGCCGGGAACUCAAAGGAGACUGCCAGUGAUAAACUGGAGGAAGGUGGGGAUGACGUCAAGUCAUCAUGGCCCUUACGACCAGGGCUACACACGUGCUACAAUGGCAUAUACAAAGAGAAGCGACCUCGCGAGAGCAAGCGGACCUCAUAAAGUAUGUCGUAGUCCGGAUUGGAGUCUGCAACUCGACUCCAUGAAGUCGGAAUCGCUAGUAAUCGUAGAUCAGAAUGCUACGGUGAAUACGUUCCCGGGCCUUGUACACACCGCCCGUCACACCAUGGGAGUGGGUUGCAAAAGAAGUAGGUAGCUUAACCUUCGGGAGGGCGCUACCACUUUGGAUGCAUG